RNAcentral lists this unclassified non-coding RNA (343 nucleotides) under soil metagenome. RNAcentral describes it as "partial contains 5.8S ribosomal RNA, internal transcribed spacer 2, and large subunit ribosomal RNA". The stretch from base 1 to 120 matches the Rfam family "5.8S ribosomal RNA", at positions 35 to 154 of the family's 154-position model. The record is from RNAcentral.
GAUGAAGAACGUAGCGAAAUGCGAUAAGUAAUGUGAAUUGCAGAAUUCAGUGAAUCAUCGAAUCUUUGAACGCACAUUGCGCCCGCCAGUAUUCUGGCGGGCAUGCCUGUUCGAGCGUCAUUUCAACCCUCGACCUCCCUUUGGGGAAUUCGGCGUUGGGGACCGGCAGCACACCGCCGGCCCUGAAAUGGAGUGGCGGCCCGUCCGCGGCGACCUCUGCGUAGUAAUCCAACUCGCACCGGAACCCCGACGCGGCCACGCCGUAAAACACCCAACUUCUGAACGUUGACCUCGAAUCAGGUAGGACUACCCGCUGAACUUAAGCAUAUCAAUAAGCGGAGGA